UUGAACGCUGGCGGCAUGCCUUACACAUGCAAGUCGAACGGCAGCACGGGAGCAAUCCUGGUGGCGAGUGGCGAACGGGUGAGUAAUGUAUCGGAACGUACCUUUCAGUGGGGGAUAACGUAGCGAAAGUUACGCUAAUACCGCAUAUUCUGUGAGCAGGAAAGCAGGGGAUCGCAAGACCUUGCGCUGAUUGAGCGGCCGAUAUCGGAUUAGCUAGUUGGUGAGGUAAAGGCUCACCAAGGCGACGAUCCGUAGCUGGUCUGAGAGGACGACCAGCCACACUGGAACUGAGACACGGUCCAGACUCCUACGGGAGGCAGCAGUGGGGAAUUUUGGACAAUGGGGGCAACCCUGAUCCAGCCAUUCCGCGUGAGUGAAGAAGGCCUUCGGGUUGUAAAGCUCUUUCGGCAGGAACGAAACGGUGGUCCUUAAUACGGGCUACUAAUGACGGUACCUGAAGAAGAAGCACCGGCUAACUACGU
RNAcentral lists this ribosomal RNA (482 nucleotides) under uncultured bacterium. RNAcentral's name for it is "bacterial SSU rRNA". It matches the Rfam family "Bacterial small subunit ribosomal RNA", at positions 30 to 506 of the family's 1533-position model. The record is from RNAcentral.